CAGCCGCCGCGGGAAUACGUAGGUCCCGAGCGUUGUCCGGAUUUAUUGGGCGUAAAGCGAGCGCAGGCGGUUAGAUAAGUCUGGAGUUAAAGGCUGUGGCUUAACCAUAGUACGCUUUGGAAACUGUUUAACUUGAGUGCAAGAGGGGAGAGUGGAAUUCCAUGUGUAGCGGUGAAAUGCGUAGAUAUAUGGAGGAACACCGGUGGCGAAAGCGGCUCUCUGGCUUGUAACUGACGCUGAGGCUCGAAAGCGUGGGGAGCAAACAGGAUUAGAUACCCGCGUAGUCCCUGUCUCUUAUACC
Molecule: ribosomal RNA, 301 nt
Filed under: uncultured bacterium
Lineage: Bacteria
Description: partial 16S ribosomal RNA
Rfam family: Bacterial small subunit ribosomal RNA
Source: RNAcentral